This 532-nucleotide long non-coding RNA is filed under the name Phoenix dactylifera (date palm). Its description in RNAcentral is "long non-coding RNA (PDAC_LNC017896)". The record is from RNAcentral. Lineage: Eukaryota; Viridiplantae; Streptophyta; Magnoliopsida; Arecales; Arecaceae.
AGUGAGAUAUAUUGUGAUCUCUAUCUCAAUAUCAUUGAAAACUCCUUUCAAUGGGUUGGAACGAUUCCAACUCAACUCAUUAGGGUUUAUCGAUCAUCGAAAUAAUCCCUGUGAGUCCCACCAUCCACCAGUGACACCUAGCAGCAUGUAGUGGCUACCCAGCAGAAUGGAAUGAUGAACCUCUAGGUGCAGUUAACGUGUGAUACAGUCCUACUAUCGUGGAUCCCUACAGGACGGAGGUCAUGGACAACUCGUCAAACCCCAUCGUCUGUCAUAUGUUAAGAUUUAUUCGACUCGAGUUCGAUAGUGAAAAACUCUUUCUCCACUUUAUAUUACUGCCCUGUCCAAGGUCUUAGAACUCAGUCUAACAAAUCACAUAGGAUCACUCCUCUUCUAUCAAGGUCGAUAGAUUCCUUAUAGGUGCAUACCCUACUCCUACAGUGAACUUACUGCAGCCAAUCUACACUGCAUGGACCCAUAUGGCUAGAGACCAUGUAUGUGUGCAGUCAAACUACAAUAACCUCACUGUGAG